This 301-nucleotide ribosomal RNA is filed under the name uncultured bacterium. RNAcentral's name for it is "bacterial SSU rRNA". It matches the Rfam family "Bacterial small subunit ribosomal RNA", at positions 8 to 290 of the family's 1533-position model. The record is from RNAcentral.
AGAGUUUGAUCCUGGCUCAGGAUGAACGCUGGCGGCGUGCUUAACACACGCAAGUCGAACGGAGAGCUCAUGACAGAGGAUUCGUCCAAUGGAUUGAGUUUCUUAGUGGCGGACGGGUGAGUAACGCGUGAGGAACCUGCCUCGGAGUGGGGAAUAACAGUCCGAAAGGACUGCUAAUACCGCAUAAUGCAGUUGGGUCGCAUGGCUCUGACUGCCAAAGAUUUAUCGCUCUGAGAUGGCCUCGCGUCUGAUUAGCUGGUUGGCGGGGUAACGGCCCACCAAGGCGACGAUCAGUAGCCGG